UACGGAGGGAGCUAGCGUUAUUCGGAAUUACUGGGCGUAAAGCGCACGUAGGCGGCUUUGUAAGUUAGAGGUGAAAGCCCGGGGCUCAACUCCGGAACUGCCUUUAAGACUGCAUCGCUUGAAUCCAGGAGAGGUGAGUGGAAUUCCGAGUGUAGAGGUGAAAUUCGUAGAUAUUCGGAAGAACACCAGUGGCGAAGGCGGCUCACUGGACUGGCAUUGACGCUGAUGCGCGAAAGCCAGGGGAGCAAACGGG
This 253-nucleotide ribosomal RNA is filed under the name uncultured bacterium. RNAcentral describes it as "partial 16S ribosomal RNA". It matches the Rfam family "Bacterial small subunit ribosomal RNA", at positions 524 to 776 of the family's 1533-position model. The record is from RNAcentral.